This is a microRNA precursor of Ictidomys tridecemlineatus (thirteen-lined ground squirrel), 106 nucleotides long. Ensembl annotates it as microRNA 24-2. The record is from Ensembl. Lineage: Eukaryota; Metazoa; Chordata; Mammalia; Rodentia; Sciuridae.
CCGCUCCCUGGGCUCCGCCCCCCGUGCCUACUGAGCUGAAACACAGUUGGUUCGUGCACACUGGCUCAGUUCAGCAGGAACAGGGGUCAAGCCCCCUCGGAGUCUG